This 230-nucleotide long non-coding RNA is filed under the name Elaeis guineensis (African oil palm). RNAcentral describes it as "long non-coding RNA (EGUI_LNC063767)". The record is from RNAcentral. Lineage: Eukaryota; Viridiplantae; Streptophyta; Magnoliopsida; Arecales; Arecaceae.
AGGUAACGCAGAGUUUGGACCACCAAGCUCGAGCCUACGGCCAUGAACAAUGAGGAAAGCGAACCAGCGUAUCGACGACUGGGCACCUCCAAACGACGUCAACGUCGGACAAGUCAAACGACAAGAGAAGUUCGAUGGAUGAUAAUUUAAUACAAUAUGCUGACGAGGUAACACAAAAUCUCCUUUUCAUUUCAUUUGCAAAAUAUACAUCACGAAGCCCAGAAGGCCAA